RNAcentral lists this ribosomal RNA (253 nucleotides) under uncultured bacterium. RNAcentral's name for it is "partial 16S ribosomal RNA". It matches the Rfam family "Bacterial small subunit ribosomal RNA", at positions 524 to 776 of the family's 1533-position model. The record is from RNAcentral.
CACGGGGGGAGCAAGCGUUGUUCGGAAUCACUGGGCGUAAAGGGCGUGUAGGCGGUCAGGUAAGUGAGACGUGAAAUGCCCCGGCUUACCCGGGGACCUGCGUCUCAUACUGCUUGGCUUGAGUACGGGAGAGGGUGUGGGAAUUCCUGGUGUAGCGGUGAAAUGCGUAGAUAUCAGGAGGAACACCGGUGGCGAAGGCGCACACCUGGCCCGAUACUGACGCUGAGGCGCGAAAGCUAGGGGAGCGAACAGG